CCGGCUGGCUCGCGCUGCGACGCGACGCGCUCUGUCCUCUGUCUGCAACCACUGUGCGCCCGUCUCGUCCACUGUGCGCCCCGUGUGUGUUCGUGCGACGCCGUGCGCCGCUCCUCGCGAAGCAUUUCUUCCUACCGACAGAAUGUGCAACCGAAUCGGCACUGCAACCCUUUAGUUCGAGCUACAAGGUCUCCCGCUCACCGUUUGUGUCAGAUGCCAAUAUCGAAGCAGAAGUGACUGCCGCCGCAAAGUACCAACAAAACCAAUAACUCCCUUCAGGUGCAUAGCUGGCAGUACCUGAAUGAGAUGAGGCACAAGUCAGAGGUUGGUAAGGCGAGUGAAAGUGGUGCGGCAGCAGAAGGGGAGAGAAUAGACAGCCGUGUCGGUGCCAUACGUCGCCUUACAAGGAGAACGCUCUGACGGGCGGCCAUAAAGCGGCGGCAGCUGACACUGCUCCCGUUACGCGACAUUCGUUCGGUGGCUGUCGCUGAUCGAACCAAUGUAUCCCGCCUUCAGCAUCAACACAGUUCUCAAUACACCACUGCCUGCUCACAAAACUAGAAGAAGUGCCAUAUGAUACUAGUUUGUAACUUGUCAAUCGCUACUUUCUGUAAGGGAGACAGGGGCUAGUUGGCAAGGAUUUUGAGUUCUGAUUUGUAAUUUGUUGUUUUAUUUAUUUUUUGUUAUUUUAUUAUUUUUGUGCAAUUCUUGCAGGGAUUCUGGUGAAUGCAGCGAAUACCUUAGCUUUUUGACCACAAAAUACUAUAGGAAGAACAAAUUCUUCAAAAAAUAAAUUCAUUGUGAAGAAAAUAAUACUUGAAAGUAAAUUUUACUUGCAUGCAAUAUGAACUUAAA
Molecule: long non-coding RNA, 855 nt
Organism: Schistocerca cancellata (South American locust)
Lineage: Eukaryota; Metazoa; Arthropoda; Insecta; Orthoptera; Acrididae
Exons: 3
Source: RefSeq, a predicted model, not a curated record